GACGAACGCUGGCGGCGUGCUUAACACAUGCAAGUCGAGCGGUAAGGCCCUUUCGGGGGUACACGAGCGGCGAACGGGUGAGUAACACGUGGGUGACCUGCCCUCAGCUCUGGGAUAAGCCCGGGAAACUGGGUCUAAUACUGGAUAUUACUCUGCGGUGCAUGCCGUGGGGUGGAAAGCCUUGUGCGGCUGGGGAUGGGCCCGCGGCCUAUCAGCUUGUUGGUGGGUGAUGGCCACCAAGGCGACGACGGGUAGCCGGCCUGAGAGGGCGACCGGCCACACUGGGACUGAGACACGGCCCAGACUCCUACGGGAGGCAGCAGUGGGGAACCUUGCGCAAUGGGCGAAAGCCUGACGCAGCGACGCCGCGUGA
RNAcentral lists this ribosomal RNA (373 nucleotides) under uncultured bacterium. RNAcentral's name for it is "bacterial SSU rRNA". It matches the Rfam family "Bacterial small subunit ribosomal RNA", at positions 28 to 404 of the family's 1533-position model. The record is from RNAcentral.